GACGAAGGAUGCAAGCGUUAUCCGGAUUCAUUGGGUUUAAAGGGUGCGUAGGCGGCCCUGUAAGUCCGUGGUGAAAUCUCUGAGCUUAACUCAGAAACUGCCAUGGAUACUAUUUGUCUUGAAUAUUGUGGAGGUAAGCGGAAUAUGUCAUGUAGCGGUGAAAUGCUUAGAUAUGACAUAGAACACCAAUUGCGAAGGCAGCUUACUACACAGUUAUUGACGCUGAGGCACGAAAGCGUGGGGAUCAAACAGG
Molecule: ribosomal RNA, 253 nt
Filed under: uncultured bacterium
Lineage: Bacteria
Description: partial 16S ribosomal RNA
Rfam family: Bacterial small subunit ribosomal RNA
Source: RNAcentral